This 739-nucleotide ribosomal RNA is filed under the name uncultured eukaryote. RNAcentral describes it as "eukaryotic LSU rRNA". The stretch from base 258 to 411 matches the Rfam family "5.8S ribosomal RNA". The record is from RNAcentral.
AAGUCGUAACAAGGUUUCUGUAGGUGAACCUGCAGAAGGAUCAUUAGUGAAGAUUUGGGCAGGCCAUACGGACGCCAAAAAGUGUCCCUGGCCGCCUACACCCACUAUACAUCCACAAACCCGUGUGCACUGUCUUGGAGAAAGGCUUCAGAGAAGUUUUUUGUGGCCUCUCUCGGGGUCUUUCUUCGCUACAAACUCGAAUGGUUAGUAUGAACGUGGAACUUGGUUGGACCGUCACUGGCCAACAAACUAUACACAACUUUCGACAACGGAUCUCUUGGUUCUCCCAUCGAUGAAGAACGCAGCGAAACGCGAUAGGUAAUGUGAAUUGCAGAAUUCCGUGAAUCAUCGAAUCUUUGAACGCACCUUGCGCUCUAUGGCAAUCCGUAGAGCAUGCCUGUUUGAGUGCCAUGAAAUCUCCCACCCCAAGCGGUUUUUAAAUGAAACGGCUUGGCGGAUGGGGUCUGGAUGGGUGCCUCUGCCUGCGCUACCUAGCACAGGCUCGCCCGAAAUGCAUGAGCGCCUUGAGACACUUUGCAUCCGCCUCUCUGUUUGGGAGGAGGCGGCCAAGCAGUGUUUUUCUCCUGGCAUGGCAUGAUACGUCAUUUGCUAUGUCGCCUAAAGGAGGAAUGUUUGGUUGUGUCUGCGUGUGCUUCGAACUUGCCUCUGUGGCACAUCCCAAUUUCACUUCUGGUCUCAAAUCANGUAGGAUCACCCGCUGAACUUAAGCAUAUCAAUA